Molecule: unclassified non-coding RNA, 2508 nt
Filed under: Haliotis rubra (blacklip abalone)
Lineage: Eukaryota; Metazoa; Mollusca; Gastropoda; Lepetellida; Haliotidae
Description: peroxisomal sarcosine oxidase-like, transcript variant X1
Source: RNAcentral
CAUAAGUAUGUCAUUGAGAAAACAGCCUUGACCCGGCGUCAGACGAUCGGGGCAGUUUCCACAGCGACACUGCAUGACACUUCUCGCAGGGCUCGUGGACAUCCGAGACUACACAGCUGGUCAAAUCCUGCUGCGAAAGAGAAAAAAGAAAAGGCUGUGUACACUCCAAAUCCAAAAUGGCCGAGCAAGCGUAUGACGUCAUUGUGAUAGGUUCGGGAGUGAUGGGGUCUUCCACGGCUUACAGUCUCGCCAAGAAGGGAAAGAAGACCCUCAUCCUGGAGCAGUUCCCCGUCCUCCACUCCCGUGGUAGUUCCCAUGGCCUCAGUCGCAUCACCAGACUCGCCUACAGGGAACAGUACUACACCGACAUGAUGGUGGACGCCUUUAAGAUGGUGGCGGAGCUGGAGAGAGAGACAGGAACAGAACUGUUGAUAAACUGUGGUACUCUAAGUAUUGGUCCUGAGAACGAUGAUUACCUACGUGACGUCGAGAAGGCUCUGAACAGGGUGGGUGCUGCGGUCGAUGCCCUCACCAACGAUCAGAUGAGGAAGAGGUACCCCAUGUUGUCGUACCCACAGAACUAUGUCGGGUUGUUGGAUCGGAAAGGGGGACUUCUGAAGGCGGACUGCAUACUGAGGGCUUUGCAGACGGUGUUCCGCCAGCGAGGCGGUGAAAUACGUGACUGUGAGCCUGUGAUGGCCAUCCACCCCGGGGCAACAGUGACGGUGACGACGUCCAAAGGGACGUACCGGGCUGCUAGUGUUGUCGUUGCUGCAGGUUCCUGGGCAGACAAGAUUCUCCGCCCACUUGGACUCAAUCUGCCCGUCACGAUACAGAGAGUGACAGUGUGUUACUGCAAGGAACUGCAUCCAGAUAGCCACUCCGCCCAGCAUCUUCCCUGCUACAUUGAGCACAACGGGAGUCCCCCUUACGACAUGUGGGGGCUGCCAAGCUACGAAUAUCCUGGUUAUGCAAAGAUAGCAUUGCACACGGGCCCCGAGAUCUCGCCCGAAACACGAGACCAGCCAGACGGGAAGUGGGUCACCGAUCGAGUCACGGCAUAUGUAAAGGAACAUUUCCCAGGCCUGGAGCCCACGCCAUCUAUCACAGAACAGUGUAUAUACACGGUGACUCCUGAUGAAGACUUCAUCAUUGACCAACACCCCCAGCACCACAACAUCAUCGUUGCAGCCGGAUUCUCAGGCCAUGGCUUCAAACUGGCGCCAGUCGUAGGAGACGCUCUCAGCGACAUGGCUGUCGGCCGGGUUCCGAAAUACGACAUGAAGCCAUUCAAGAUAGCCCGGUUCAAGACGGCUGCGAGACUAUAGCACUAUGCGUGUAUGCAUUAAGUACCGACCAACUGUAGACCGCUAUAUCGUAUUUCAUCGAGUCGCGUUAUGCAAUACAUAUGCAUAGCGUUACAAUAUUCAGUACAUGAGUAGAUGCAAUGACACCACAAUGGGUGCGAAAGCUUAACCAUUGGCAGUUUAAAUUAUUUUAUUUCAAACCAAAUUUCUCAUUUCAAUAUUUUGUUUAUUUGUUUCGAUCUUUCGAGUUUAAUCUCGUUACUUUGAUUACAUUUUCGAAAAUCGAUUUUUUUUUUGUUAUUUCAAGUUUAUUACAAGAACUUAGGAUUUCAAUGUUUUUCUUAUUGCUUUCACUUUUGUCUCGUCAUUUUAAUUGUUAUUUCGAAAUGCCGGGUUUUUUUGCGUUUCCUUAAUUACUUUCUCGUUUUUUCGAUUACUUUCACACAUAUUCAGGUCUAUGUCAAUAAAUUAUCGGAAUUACGAAAAACAUAGUCCUGUAAUAUUGUUUUUGAAAUUCAAGUACAUGUAAUUGAAAUAACGAGAAAUUGUGGGAUAAAAAAUAUAGUUUAUACCACCAAAGUAAAAAUAUAAUUUAUGCUACCAAAGUGGCACCAUUAGGCCUUGGGGGAUGGUAGAUUAUUUCAACUGAUUAACAAAGAUUUUCCAUGUAUUGUACCACUGACUCAAACUUUCAUUCUGUCCAUCGCAUCAACGGUUACAGCUUAACCAUUCUAAGACGGCCGCCAUGCUUUCAUUAUUUCAGAGUAUUAUGAGAACCCUUUGGAAUCAUAGAUGACUUUAAAUUUUAAAUUUAAGUUUAAGUUUUAAAUUUCUCGGUUGAUACAUACAUGCAUGGACGCGUAUUAGUUACUAAAUAUUAGUAUCAGCUACGUUGAUGUACGUAUAAUCUUCGUAGAUGAAGGUAUCGCCUUUGUAGAUGUAUGUAUCUUUCAAGUAGAUAUUAGUAUCAGCUACGUCGAUGUAAGUAUAAUCUACGUAGAUGAAAGUGUCUUCUACGUUGAUUAAGGCACAAAUACGCUUAUUCAGAUACAUUAUAAUUCAAGCUGUCAACAUUUUUAUGACCUAAAGGAGGAAUUAAGAACUUGACCUUGUUUAUGUUCAAUGACAGCUGGAGGGAGAACAAUGUCUUCACUUUGCCAUCACAGCUACUAGCGAUGGAUAUUAAAUAAUCUCUACUAAA